Molecule: long non-coding RNA, 104 nt
Organism: Strigops habroptila (Kakapo)
Lineage: Eukaryota; Metazoa; Chordata; Aves; Psittaciformes; Psittacidae
Exons: 3
Source: RefSeq, a predicted model, not a curated record
AAUAUGAGCAACACAGAUCAUACUCUUGUGGACUUCCAUAAAAGCCACAAGAAGCUAAACAAAGGCAGCCUCUCUUAACUGUUUUCUCAUGCUCCCCAGUUAAG